RNAcentral lists this ribosomal RNA (305 nucleotides) under uncultured bacterium. RNAcentral describes it as "bacterial SSU rRNA". It matches the Rfam family "Bacterial small subunit ribosomal RNA", at positions 335 to 658 of the family's 1533-position model. The record is from RNAcentral.
GUCCUACGGGGGGCAGCAGUGGGGAAUAUUGCACAAUGGGGGAAACCCUGAUGCAGCGACGCCGCGUGAGUGAAGAAGUAUUUCGGUAUGUAAAGCUCUAUCAGCAGGGAAGAAAAUGACGGUACCUGACUAAGAAGCCCCGGCUAACUACGUGCCAGCAGCCGCGGUAAUACGUAGGGGGCAAGCGUUAUCCGGAUUUACUGGGUGUAAAGGGAGCGUAGACGGCAUAGCAAGUCUGAUGUGAAAGAUCGGGGCUCAACCCCGGGCCUGCAUUGGAAACUGUUAAGCUGGAGUACAGGAGAGGU